This is a long non-coding RNA of Scomber scombrus (Atlantic mackerel), 406 nucleotides long. RefSeq lists it as uncharacterized. The record is from RefSeq and is a predicted model, not a curated record. The transcript has 4 exons. Lineage: Eukaryota; Metazoa; Chordata; Actinopteri; Scombriformes; Scombridae.
GUGUGUAGCAGUGUGUAGCAGUGUGUAGUAACUGUGUGUAGCAGUGUUGUGUAAUGUUGUGUAGCAGUGUGUAGUAACUGUGUGUACCUCUCCAGUGUCGAAGGCUCUGCAGGAGUUCGAUCUCGCUCUGAGAGGAAAAAAGAAAAGAGAAAAAUUCAUGAAAGAAAACAAGAAGAAAGAUCUGACUCCGGAGGAACGAGCUCAGUUCGAGAUCUUGAAGGCUCAAAUGUUUGCUGAGCGAGCAGCGAAGAGAGAACGAAAACCUAAGAGAGCGAGAGCCAUGCCUGAAGAGGAGGCGCCACACACAGUCAACAAAAAAGAAAGAAAAGGAGGAAAGAAAUCUGUGUUUGAUAAAGAAUUAACAAACACCAGCAGCAAGGCUCUGAAACACUACAGAGCAGGGUGA